RNA transcript from Maniola jurtina (meadow brown), 1954 nucleotides. It is a transcript of the gene named cysteine-rich PDZ-binding protein, with no coding region annotated. The record is from RefSeq and is a predicted model, not a curated record. NCBI's taxonomy places the organism in Eukaryota, Metazoa, Arthropoda, Insecta, Lepidoptera, Nymphalidae. The transcript is spliced from 5 exons.
UGACAGCUACGAUUUUAGGGUUAUGUUAUUAAUCAUUAUCAUUAUUUAAUUUUUAUUAGAGUACAUUAUUAUUAAGUUAAAAUAAUAAAAUGGUGUGUGAGAAAUGUGAGAAGAAGCUCGGCCGUGUUAUAACUCCGGACCCGUGGAAGACAGGGGCGCGGAACACAGUUGAGUCUGGUGGCAGAAAAGUUGGCGAAAACAAAGCUUUGACCGCCAAAAAAGGGCGCUAUAACCCUUACACGUCGAAGUUUCAAGAGUGCAAGAUUUGCCGAACUAAAGUGCACCAAGUAGGCUCCCACUACUGUCAGGCGUGUGCAUACAAGAAAGGGAUCUGUGCAAUGUGUGGUAAAAAGAUACUGGACACUUCAAAUUACAGACAGAGCUCUACAUAGUAUAUGAUAAACUGUUUUAUAGGUAAAGACAACUGUUUUAGUGGGAACUCUUUGAUUUUCCACUAUUGAAAAGUUUCUAGAAUGCAAGCUAUCUCUGUACCAUAUAGGUGGUGUCCACGACUUCUCUAUUGGGUUUAGAUGUUCAAAAUCCUGUGGAAACUUUGAUUUUCUGGGACAAAAAGUAGCUUGUCAGCUGUCUGUUCCUGGAAUGACAGCUAACUCUGUAUAAAAUUUCGUUCAAAUUGGUUGAACAGAUGAGGUGAUGAUUGGUAAAGCAAAUACACAAAUUAAGGAUGCAAUAAGUAAACAAAUAAAUUAAUACAAUAGCUAAUAAAUAAAAAAUAAAAAUAAAUAAAACAAAAAUAAGGAUUCAAGUGCGGAUUGUGACUGUGUUUUUAUAUUAUUUAGGUGAUGUUUAACCAAGGAAUACUUUGGGUGUAGUGACAGUUUUUGUAUUGAAAACCUACUGAAAUAUCAAAUUUACUCUCAGAUAAGACUUGCUUUAUGUUGGUGAAAUCAGCCCUUAGAGAUAUAGAUUGUAAAAGAUUUUUAUAGAAUCGAUGUACAUAUUUUCAUCUUAAUAUAAGUAAUUUAAAUGUAAAUUAUACAUUACAAAUAAACUUAGAAAAAUAUAAAGAUUACUUUUAUUUUAUUUAUUUUUGAACAAAAAUUUUAUUUGAGUGCUAUAUUUUGUACAAAAUCAGAAAAUGAACUACUCAAAUGUAAAUUGAAAAACUUAAAUCCAUAAGGACAAAUUUGCAAGCAUGAUCUAAUGAAAUUUCCAUUAAAUUAAUGAAUUAAAAACUAGUAAUUUGAUAAGAAAUUGAUUAUACUAUAGAACUUGAAUUUAGUUACUUAGUUGAAAAUCGAGACAUGAUUUUUUGUAGUACGAAAUUAAUUGUUUUUUUGUUGCUUAUGUUGAAACUAGCACCGAAAGUUUCAAUCGAUGAAAACGAACUGGACGAAAUUCUUCAAGAUCGCGAUCACAUUUUUGUAUUACCAAUUGAAAACAACAUUGAUAAAGAACAAAAUUACAAAACAAAAGGAAAAAAGGAUAAUAAAUUGCGUAAAAAAUACGCUUCCCAUGAUCAUGUGCUAAAGUGGCGUCCUCCACAUCCGAGAAUCAUUUUAAUUCGUCCAAAACUUAUGAAAUCUCCAAAUGACGUCUCCAAACUACAUUCUAUAUCUGAAAGUCUUUCAAGUGACAAAAAUCGGGAUGCUCUACGCGAAAAAGUUGAAAGUUCAGACUCCGAACAAUAUAACAGCACGGAAAUAGAAAAAAUAAUUUUCCUCCCAAACAAUACACAUAAAUAUAUAAAAACCGCUGAAGUGAUAGAUUCAACGAAUGAAGAUAUCAACGAUGGGACGACAGGUCAAAGAUUAAAGGAAGAGGAAGAUCUAAAAUGCAUAAAUGCUUGUAAAGAAGUUAUUGGUAAUGUGUGUGAUGCACAUACCACCAAAUGCGGCGCUAAAGAACGACAUUUGUUUGAAAAGGAUUGUUUUAAGGCUUGUAACUAGGUUUAGAAAAUAAAGAGUUUCAAUAAACUUUUGUGUUCUUAUUU